GAAAAGUCAGUGGGAUCUCAAGAAGAUCUGUUUUCAACAGAAAAGGCUGACCAGAUUGGAUGACUUUGUGCACACCUACAAGGUGAUGCAUGAAGGUCUUCUACGAAAGUACCAAGACUCUCUAAAAAUCAAGAUCAAGACCCACAGGGUUGCCGUUGAAAGGUGGAAACAAAGGAAGCAGGGGAGGAGAGGUGUUAGUCUCACCAAUGAAGAAGCCUUUUGAUUUCAAGAAACAUGAAAAGCAGAAGGUUUUAAAGACGAAGACAUCAAACCAGACUGAGGUCCAGGAGAAGUUCAUAAACACCAACGAACCAACCAACAAAACAGAUGUUGACACUUUGUUGGAGGAUGCACCGCCACCACCACCCAUGCUGGACACCCACCAAGACAAGAG
Molecule: long non-coding RNA, 394 nt
Organism: Acanthopagrus latus (yellowfin seabream)
Lineage: Eukaryota; Metazoa; Chordata; Actinopteri; Spariformes; Sparidae
Exons: 3
Source: RefSeq, a predicted model, not a curated record